Molecule: long non-coding RNA, 125 nt
Organism: Etheostoma spectabile (orangethroat darter)
Lineage: Eukaryota; Metazoa; Chordata; Actinopteri; Perciformes; Percidae
Exons: 3
Source: RefSeq, a predicted model, not a curated record
UAGGUAUCUUGGGCACUUUAAAGCUACAUUGUGUAAGAAUUCCUCCCAUUUAGCAGUGAAAUUGUAUAUGACAACCAACUGAAUAUUACUUUCUAGCCCUUCCCAUUCUGGUGGCUGAACUCAAA